This 29-nucleotide non-coding RNA is filed under the name Homo sapiens (human). Lineage: Eukaryota; Metazoa; Chordata; Mammalia; Primates; Hominidae. The record is from RNAcentral.
UCACUCGAUUUUCUGCUGCCCUGGCCUCC